RNAcentral lists this unclassified non-coding RNA (1985 nucleotides) under Leishmania donovani. Its description in RNAcentral is "gene:LdHU3.34.2460(CDS-product:p25-alpha_putative )". Lineage: Eukaryota; Euglenozoa; Kinetoplastea; Trypanosomatida; Trypanosomatidae. The record is from RNAcentral.
CACACCCACGUACAUCAUUUUUUCCCCUUUUUGCACUCAACUAUCACGUAUCUUCGCCUCUGUACUUCCCCUCACCUGUAGCUGCCUUUCGCACUUCCUGGCUUGCAUCAGCGCGACUCGGCUAUACUCUCUCAUCUCCCUCUCUCCCUCACCUCCUUCCAACGAUGGACAAUUUCCAGGCGACGUUUGAGGCUUUCGCGUCCUUCGGCAGCGCGCCGUCGAAGGAAAUGGACAACUCGCACUUCUCCAAAAUGCUGAAGGAGUGCAAGAUCAUUGGCAAGAGCUUCACGUCGACGGACGCCGACCUGCUCUUCAGCAAGGUGAAGGCGAAGGAAGCACGCAAAAUCAGCUUCACGGAGUUCAAGGAAAAGGCUAUUCCCGAGAUCGCAGCCAAGAUGAAGAAGACCCCUGCUGACAUCGAGGUCAUGAUAGCCAACGCCGCCCCCAAGUCCAGCGGCACCAAGGCCGACACGGUGCGUUUCCAUGAUGAUAAAAGCACCUACACCGGUGCUGCAAAGCAGGGCGGCCCGACAAACGUGGACCGAAACGCCGGCUCGCUCGCAGGUGUCGUGGACCGUCGCCAGGAGACAAUCGACAACCGCGGCACCACUGCGAAACAGAUCUAAACUCGAAAAGAGCAUCACUGAAUACAGUGCGUCGCUCGAAGGGAAAAGAGGAGAAUGAAGAGCGACAACAGGCGAAAAGAGGACGCGGCGUGGCUGCAUCUCGAUUGAGCCCUUGGCUACUUACACUCUUCACACCCGCGCUAGCCUCCGAGCGUGUGGGUAUGAGCUCGAGUGACUAGUUCUUACUUUCUCGGUGCUGUCGGACUGUGCUCGACGUGCUCCUCUUACGUUUCUCUUGUAUCGUUUGUAUGUGGACUUCAAGCUUUCUCUCCCUCCCUCUCUGUGAUGCCUCUUUGGAUCUCCUUCUUGUAUCUCUGUAGAGACACACGUUCCCCUCGCCAUGUACAUGGAACGUGUUGGGUAUUGCUCGUUUUGCGCGAGCCUGUGUCUUUCUCUUUUUAUUUCAUUUCCCUCUCUGAUUCUCUAUAUGUUUUUUUUUUUCGCCGGAUCGGACGUGAGGACUCAUGCUUGCUGCCUUGCGUGUGCUUGGGUGCCUUCAGCGUUACCACUUGCCUGUUAGUAUCCAGGGAUUUGUUUACGUACUCCUUUGCAUGUAGAUGAAUGGAGGCUUCCCAAAGACGCUGCAUCGACAGCGCCUCAGAGAAUGACAGCAACAAUGUCUCUUUCUCUGUCUCUGUGCUCGAUAUGUGCUCUCUAAAAAAAAAAUGAAACUCUCUGCCUCUCCGUUUUCUUGUAUUUCUGAUCGGAUCUGCCAUGCUCGCGAGUGUGCAUGCUGCCAUCACCCUUCUCUUCUUGGAUGCCUCAAUGGGCCUUGCACCGGCCUUUUGUGGUGACCACCUGCCUCUUGCCCUCCUCCUUCCCGCCAUGCUGCGUGUUGUCCCCAGUCGUUAUCGUUGUCGUCGGCAUUUCUCAGCGAGUCACAAGCACAGAUUCGACUUAUACAGUCGCCACGAUGGCACCGCAGUCGUGACCUCGCACAUCGCUACUAGGCAUCCCCGCGCAAGAAAGAGGAAGUGGCAGACAGACGUUCAUGGAGAUAUGCGGGCCCUACGCGGUUUAUCUUUUUUUUGUAGGUUUUGUUUUCCGGUAUGCUUUCUGAGGUUCUGCUCACCAGUUGCCUCGUGAAGAAGCAAAUAGGAGAGGCACUCGCAAUAGGCCGCACGCUGAGGUGUGUCGUUGGGCCUCCGUUAAGAAGAGACUGACUUCCGAUCCACCUUCGGGUCGCCACAACACAGGGAAGGACUAACCAUGUUGUCUCUCCGACUGUUGAGGUUGGAUGCGUGUAGGGUGAGCGAGCCAUCUCUGUUUCCAUCCGCUUGAUGAGGCGCUUCGCUUGAGAGGAACUCCUCCAACACCCCACCCUGACGAAGGUUGAAGGGAAAACGGCAGUUUACUUGC